GCAGCAGUGAGGAAUAUUGGACAAUGGGCGAGAGCCUGAUCCAGCCAUGCCGCGUGCAGGAAGACUGCCCUAUGGGUUGUAAACUGCUUUUGUACGGGAAGAACAAGAGUCACGUGUGGCUCUCUGACGGUACCGUAAGAAUAAGGAUCGGCUAACUCCGUGCCAGCAGCCGCGGUAAUACGGAGGAUCCGAGCGUUAUCCGGAAUUAUUGGGUUUAAAGGGUCCGUAGGCGGGCCAUUAAGUCAGGGGUGAAAGUCUGCGGCUCAACCGUAGAAUUGCCCUUGAUACUGGUGGUCUUGAGUACUGGUGAAGUGGCUAGAAUAUGUGGUGUAGCGGUGAAAUGCAUAGAUAUCACAUAGAAUACCGAUUGCGAAGGCAGGUCACUAACCAUUCACUGACGCUGAUGGACGAAAGCGUGGGUAGCGAACAGGAUUAGAUACCCUGGUAGUCCACGCCGUAAACGAUGGAUACUAGCUGUCGGGAGACCAAUGGGUUUUUCGGUGGCCAAGCGAAAGUGAUAAGUAUCCCACCUGGGGAGUACGGCCGCAAGGCUGAAACUCAAAGGAAUUGACGG
Molecule: ribosomal RNA, 574 nt
Filed under: uncultured Arenibacter sp.
Lineage: Bacteria; Pseudomonadati; Bacteroidota; Flavobacteriia; Flavobacteriales; Flavobacteriaceae
Description: bacterial SSU rRNA
Rfam family: Bacterial small subunit ribosomal RNA
Source: RNAcentral